GAAUAGCAAAUGUGCAGUAAAGGGUCCAAAUUGGUAAAGAAGCUUGAAUAACUGUUUAUUAGUGCGAUACAACAGUCAAGAACAGUAGGGAUUAGGGAACAUACAAAAAUAAAUGCCUAGUGAUGAUUUGGUGCAUUCACAGUCAUAUCUUCCAUUUCCUCAUCAGCACCACCUGAAAAUAGACAAGAUGGAAAUAUAAAUAAAAUAUAUUACAAAUCAAUUAAUCAACUAAGAUUUCUUAGAUAAUUUGAAUGUAACAUACAACAAGUAGUACUGGACAGUUUAGGUAACUUCUUCAAACCAGACUUUAGUUCUUGAAAAUGAUGUAAGAUAUAAUCAAUUUUUAUGCUUGCAAAUACUUCUCGCUCAAUAUAACAUAACAUUCUAUAAUUCAGCCACUCAUCCCCC
RNAcentral lists this long non-coding RNA (408 nucleotides) under Setaria viridis. RNAcentral describes it as "long non-coding RNA (SVIR_LNC007772)". The record is from RNAcentral. Lineage: Eukaryota; Viridiplantae; Streptophyta; Magnoliopsida; Poales; Poaceae.